UACGGGGGGGUGCGAGCGUUGUCCGGAAUCACUGGGCGUAAAGGGCGCGUAGGUGGUCUGAUAAGGGUGUGGUGAAAGUCCGGGGCUCAACCCCGGAUCUGCCGUGCCGACUGUCAGACUCGAGGACUGUAGAGGCAGGCGGAAUUCCGGGUGUAGCGGUGGAAUGCGUAGAGAUCCGGAGGAAGACCGGUGGCGAAGGCGGCAUCCUGGACUGGUCCUGACACUCAUGAGCGAAAGCGUGGGGAGCGAUCCGG
Molecule: ribosomal RNA, 254 nt
Filed under: uncultured bacterium
Lineage: Bacteria
Description: partial 16S ribosomal RNA
Rfam family: Bacterial small subunit ribosomal RNA
Source: RNAcentral